UGGAUCCAGACUUUGAUUCUGGCUCAGGACGAACGCUGGCGGCGUGCCUAACACAUGCAAGUCGAACGGAACUAUUUUAAAAGAUUUCUUCGGAAUGAUUUUGGCUUAGUUUAGUGGCGGACGGGUGAGUAACGCGUGAGUAACCUGCCUUCAAGAGGGGGAUAACGUUCUGAAAAGGACGCUAAUACCGCAUAACAUAUCGGAAUCGCAUGGUUCUGAUAUCAAAGAUUUUAUCGCUUGAAGAUGGACUCGCGUCCGAUUAGUUAGUUGGUGAGGUAACGGCUCACCAAGACCGCGAUCGGUAGCCGGACUGAGAGGUUGAACGGCCACAUUGGGACUGAGACACGGCCCAGACUCCUACGGGAGGCAGCAGUGGGGGAUAUUGCGCAAUGGGGGCAACCCUGACGCAGCAACGCCGCGUGAAGGAUGAAGGUUUUCGGAUUGUAAACUUCUUUUCUUAAGGACGAAAAUUGACGGUACUUAAGGAAUAAGCUCCGGCUAACUACGUGCCAGCAGCCGCGGUAAUACGUAGGGAGCAAGCGUUGUCCGGAUUUACUGGGUGUAAAGGGUGCGUAGGCGGCAAUGCAAGUCAGACGUGAAAUCUAUGGGCUCAACCCAUAAACUGCAUUUGAAACUGCGUUGCUUGAGUGAAGUAGAGGCAGGCGGAAUUCCCCGUGUAGCGGUGUAAUGCGUAGAGAUGGGGAGGAACACCGGUGGCGAAGGCGGCCUGCUGGGCUUUAACUGACGCUGAGGCACGAAAGCGUGGGUAGCAAACAGGAUUAGAUACCCUGGUAGUCCACGCUGUAAACGAUGAUUACUAGGUGUGGGGGGUCUGACCCCUUCCGUGCCGGAGUUAACACAAUAAGUAAUCCACCUGGGGAGUACGGCCGCAAGGUUGCAACUCAAAUGAAUUGACGGA
This 919-nucleotide ribosomal RNA is filed under the name uncultured Bacillota bacterium. Its description in RNAcentral is "bacterial SSU rRNA". It matches the Rfam family "Bacterial small subunit ribosomal RNA", at positions 1 to 917 of the family's 1533-position model. The record is from RNAcentral. Lineage: Bacteria; Bacillati; Bacillota.